Molecule: ribosomal RNA, 528 nt
Filed under: uncultured organism
Description: bacterial SSU rRNA
Rfam family: Bacterial small subunit ribosomal RNA
Source: RNAcentral
CGAACGGUAGUCAGGUACUUGCACCUGAUGAGAGUGGCGAACGGGUAAGUAACACGUAGGUGAUCUACCUAGAAGUAGGGGAUAGCCUGUGGAAACACAGGGUAAUACCGAAUGAGCCUAUAUACAUACGUAUAUGUAGGGAAAGAGGCUCAGGCCUCGCUUGUAGUUGAGCCUACGGCUCACUAGCUAGUUGGGAGGGUAAAGGCCUACCAAGGCGACGAUAAGUAGCCGACCUGAGAGGGUGGGCGGUCACACUGGGACUGAGACACGGCCCAGACUCCUACGGGAGGCAGCAGCUAAGAAUCUUCCGCAAUGGUCGAAAGGCUGCCGGAGCGACGCCGCGUGGACGAAGAAGGCCGGAAGGUUGUAAAGUUCUUUUCUCCGCAGAAGAAUAACGGUGAGGCAGGGAAUGCCUACAUUGAUAGACGUAUAUCUGCAGGACAUCAGCCCCGAGCUAAUUACGUAGCCAGCAGCCGACGGAAACACGUAAGGGGCGAGCGUAGUACGGAAUUAUAGGGCGUACAGGGC